GGGAUGCAGCAGUGGGGAAUAUUGGACAAUGGGCGAAAGCCUGAUCCAGCGACGCCGCGUGGGUGAAGAAGGCCUGCGGGUUGUAAAGCCCUUUCGGUUGGGAAGAAAAGUAUUGACCUAACACGUCAGUACCUUGACGUAACCAACAAAAGAAGCACCGGCUAACUCUGUGCCAGCAGCCGCGGUAAUACAGAGGGUGCAAGCGUUAAUCGGAAUUACUGGGCGUAAAGCGCACGUAGGCGGCUUGAUAAGUCGAGUGUGAAAUUCCCGGGCUUAACCUGGGACCUGCAUUCGAAACUGUCUUGCUAGAGUAUGGGAGAGGGAAGUGGAAUUUCAGGUGUAGCGGUGAAAUGCGUAGAUAUCUGAAGGAACAUCAGUGGCGAAAGCGACUUCCUGGACCAAUACUGACGCUCAGGUGCGAAAGCGUGGGGAGCAAA
This 437-nucleotide ribosomal RNA is filed under the name gamma proteobacterium SCGC AAA278-F08. Its description in RNAcentral is "bacterial SSU rRNA". It matches the Rfam family "Bacterial small subunit ribosomal RNA", at positions 343 to 772 of the family's 1533-position model. The record is from RNAcentral. Lineage: Bacteria; Pseudomonadati; Pseudomonadota; Gammaproteobacteria.